RNAcentral lists this ribosomal RNA (496 nucleotides) under uncultured bacterium. RNAcentral describes it as "partial 16S ribosomal RNA". It matches the Rfam family "Bacterial small subunit ribosomal RNA", at positions 29 to 507 of the family's 1533-position model. The record is from RNAcentral.
AUGAACGCUGGCGGCGUGCCUAAUACAUGCAAGUCGAGCGAACGGACGAGAAGCUUGCUUCUCUGAUGUUAGCGGCGGACGGGUGAGUAACACGUGGAUAACCUACCUAUAAGACUGGGAUAACUUCGGGAAACCGGAGCUAAUACCGGAUGAUAUUUUGAACCGCAUGGUUCAAAAGUGAAAGACGGUCUUGCUGUCACUUAUAGAUGGAUCCGCGCUGCAUUAGCUAGUUGGUAAGGUAACGGAUUACCAAGGCAACGAUGCAUAGCCGACCUGAGAGGGUGAUCGGCCACACUGGAACUGAGACACGGUCCAGACUCCUACGGGAGGCAGCAGUAGGGAAUCUUCCGCAAUGGGCGAAAGCCUGACGGAGCAACGCCGCGUGAGUGAUGAAGGUCUUCGGAUCGUAAAACUCUGUUAUUAGGGAAGAACAUAUGUGUAAGUAACUGUGCACACCUUGACGGUACCUAAUCAGAAAGCCACGGCUAACUACGUG